RNAcentral lists this transfer RNA (90 nucleotides) under bacterium. Its description in RNAcentral is "tRNA-Ser". It matches the Rfam family "tRNA". Rfam says of the family: Transfer RNA (tRNA) molecules are approximately 80 nucleotides in length. Their secondary structure includes four short double-helical elements and three loops (D, anti-codon, and T loops). The record is from RNAcentral.
GGCGGGAUGCUAGAGUGGUUUAUCAGGUUUGUUUCGAAAACAAAUGUAUUAGAAAUAGUACCGUAGGUUCAAAUCCUACUCCCGCCGCAA